AGAGAAUAGGCCCAAGCGACUGUUUACCAAAAACAUAGGUUUCUGCUAAGUCGCAAGACGAUGUAUAGGAGCUGACGCCUGCCCGGUGCUGGAAGGGUAAGGGGAUCUGUUAGAGCAAUCGAAGCAGUGAACUUAAGCCCCAGUAAACGGCGGCCGUAACUAUAACGGUCCUAAGGAAGCGAAAUUCCUUGUCGGGUAAGUUCCGACCCGCACGAAAGGCGUAACGAUUUGGGCACUGUCUCAACA
Molecule: ribosomal RNA, 246 nt
Filed under: Clostridioides difficile
Lineage: Bacteria; Bacillati; Bacillota; Clostridia; Peptostreptococcales; Peptostreptococcaceae
Description: partial 23S ribosomal RNA
Rfam family: Bacterial large subunit ribosomal RNA
Source: RNAcentral